GGUAGCAUAAUCAUUAGUCUCCUAAUUAGAGGCUUGUAUGAAUGGUCGGACAAGAUAGGGACUGUCUCAGUAUAAAAAAUGAAAUUUAAUAUUUAAGUAAAAAAGCUUAAAUAAAUUGGAGGGACGAUAAGACCCUAUAAAGCUUUAUGGUAAAAUUUUUGUAUAUAAAUUAUAUAAUAUUAAAUUAUUAAAAAAUAAAUACCAUUUUACUGGGGCGGUAAAAGUAUAUUUUUGAUUAACUGCUUUUGUUAUUAAAAACAGUCGUAGCUGAAUAAUCAGUUGAUCCAUUAUUAAUGAUCAUAAGUUCAAGUUACUUUAGGGAUAACAGCGUAAUUUUUCUUGAGAGUCCUUAUCGAAAGAAAAGUUUGCGACCUCGAUGUUGAAUUAAGGAAGCCUUAAGGUGCAGCAGUUUUAAAUAGGCAGAUCUGUUCGAUCUUUAAAUCUUUACAUGAUUUG
RNAcentral lists this ribosomal RNA (456 nucleotides) under Neogonodactylus bahiahondensis. RNAcentral's name for it is "partial 16S ribosomal RNA". It matches the Rfam family "Bacterial large subunit ribosomal RNA", at positions 1955 to 2607 of the family's 2925-position model. Lineage: Eukaryota; Metazoa; Arthropoda; Malacostraca; Stomatopoda; Gonodactylidae. The record is from RNAcentral.